UUUAUGGAGAGUUUGAUCCUGGCUCAGGAUGAACGCUGGCGGCGUGCCUAAUACAUGCAAGUCGAGCGAACGGACGAGAAGCUUGCUUCUCUGAUGUUAGCGGCGGACGGGUGAGUAAAACGUGGAUAACCUACCUAUAAGACUGGGAUAACUUCGGGAAACCGGAGCUAAUACCGGAUAAUAUUUUGAACCGCAUGGUUCAAAAGUGAAAGACGGUUUUGCUGUCACUUAUAGAUGGAUCCGCGCUGCAUUAGCUAGUUGGUAAGGUAACGGCUUACCAAGGCAACGAUGCAUAGCCGACCUGAGAGGGUGAUCGGCCACACUGGAACUGAGACACGGUCCAGACUCCUACGGGAGGCAGCAGUAGGGAAUCUUCCGCAAUGGGCGAAAGCCUGACGGAGCAACGCCGCGUGAGUGAUGAAGGUCUUCGGAUCGUAAAACUCUGUUAUUAGGGAAGAACAUAUGUGUAAGUAACUGUGCACAUCUUGACGGUACCUAAUCAGAAAGCCACGGCUAACUACGUGCCAGCAGCCGCGGUAAUACGUAGGUGGCAAGCGUUAUCCGGAAUUAUUGGGCGUAAAGCGCGCGUAGGCGGUUUUUUAAGUCUGAUGUGAAAGCCCACGGCUCAACCGUGGAGGGUCAUUGGAAACUGGAAAACUUGAGUGCAGAAGAGGAAAGUGGAAUUCCAUGUGUAGCGGUGAAAUGCGCAGAGAUAUGGAGGAACACCAGUGGCGAAGGCGACUUUCUGGUCUGUAACUGACGCUGAUGUGCGAAAGCGUGGGGAUCAAACAGGAUUAGAUACCCUGGUAGUCCACGCCGUAAACGAUGAGUGCUAAGUGUUAGGGGGUUUCCGCCCCUUAGUGCUGCAGCUAACGCAUUAAGCACUCCGCCUGGGGAGUACGACCGCAAGGUUGAAACUCAAAGGAAUUGACGGGGACCCGCACAAGCGGUGGAGCAUGUGGUUUAAUUCGAAGCAACGCGAAGAACCUUACCAAAUCUUGACAUCCUUUGACAACUCUAGAGAUAGAGCCUUCCCCUUCGGGGGACAAAGUGACAGGUGGUGCAUGGUUGUCGUCAGCUCGUGUCGUGAGAUGUUGGGUUAAGUCCCGCAACGAGCGCAACCCUUAAGCUUAGUUGCCAUCAUUAAGUUGGGCACUCUAAGUUGACUGCCGGUGACAAACCGGAGGAAGGUGGGGAUGACGUCAAAUCAUCAUGCCCCUUAUGAUUUGGGCUACACACGUGCUACAAUGGACAAUACAAAGGGCAGCGAAACCGCGAGGUCAAGCAAAUCCCAUAAAGUUGUUCUCAGUUCGGAUUGUAGUCUGCAACUCGACUACAUGAAGCUGGAAUCGCUAGUAAUCGUAGAUCAGCAUGCUACGGUGAAUACGUUCCCGGGUCUUGUACACACCGCCCGUCACACCACGAGAGUUUGUAACACCCGAAGCCGGUGGAGUAACCUUUUAGGAGCUAGCCGUCGAAGGUGGGACAAAUGAUUGGGGUGAAGUCGUAACAAGGUAGCCGUAUCGGAAGGUGCGGCUGGAUCACCUCCUUUCU
Molecule: ribosomal RNA, 1554 nt
Filed under: Staphylococcus aureus
Lineage: Bacteria; Bacillati; Bacillota; Bacilli; Caryophanales; Staphylococcaceae
Description: 16S ribosomal RNA
Rfam family: Bacterial small subunit ribosomal RNA
Source: RNAcentral